AGUACUGACGCUGAGAUGCGAAGCGUGGGGAGCAAACAGGAUUAGAUACCCUGGUAGUCACGCUGUAAACGAUGUCGAUUUGGAGUUUGUUGCCUAGAGUGAUGGGCUCCGAAGCUAACGCGAUAAAUCGACCGCUGGGGAGUACGGCCGCAAGAUUAAAACUCAAAUGAAUUGACGGGGGCCCGCACAAGCGGUGGAGCAUGUGGUUUAAUUCGAUGCAACGCGAAGAACCUUACCUGGUCUUGACAUCCAUAGAAUUCUGCAGAGAUGUGGGAGUGCCUUCGGGAACUAUGAGACAGGUGCUGCAUGGCUGUCGUCAGCUCGUGUUGUGAAAUGUUGGGUUAAGUCCCGCAACGAGCGCAACCCUUAUUCUUUGUUGCCAGCGAUUUGGUCGGGAACUCAAAGGAGACUGCCGUUGAUAAAGCGGAGGAAGGUGGGGACGACGUCAAGUCAUCAUGGCCCUUACGACCAGGGCUACACACGUGCUACAAUGGCGUAUACAAAGGGAAGCGAAGGUGCGAGCUGGAGCGGAUCUCAUAAAGUACGUCUAAGUUCGGAUUGGAGUCUGCAACUCGACUCCAUGAAGUCGGAAUCGCUAGUAAUCGUAGAUCAGAAUGCUACGGUGAAUACGUUCCCGGGCCUUGUACACACCGCCCGUCACACCAUGGGAGUGGGUUGCACCAGAAGUAGAUAGCUUAACCGCGAGGGGGGCGUUUACCACGGUGUGAUUCAUGACUGGGGUGAAGUCGUAACAAGGUAACCA
Molecule: ribosomal RNA, 763 nt
Filed under: uncultured Enterobacteriaceae bacterium
Lineage: Bacteria; Pseudomonadati; Pseudomonadota; Gammaproteobacteria; Enterobacterales; Enterobacteriaceae
Description: bacterial SSU rRNA
Rfam family: Bacterial small subunit ribosomal RNA
Source: RNAcentral